This 796-nucleotide ribosomal RNA is filed under the name Staphylococcus haemolyticus. RNAcentral describes it as "bacterial SSU rRNA". It matches the Rfam family "Bacterial small subunit ribosomal RNA", at positions 42 to 805 of the family's 1533-position model. The record is from RNAcentral. Lineage: Bacteria; Bacillati; Bacillota; Bacilli; Caryophanales; Staphylococcaceae.
GCGUUCCCGCUUUUGUCAGUAUGUCUGAGGUGGUGAAGUGACAAGGAGCUCGCUCCUUUGACGUUAGCGGCGGACGGCCUGAGUAACACGUGGGUAACCUACCUAUAAGACUGGGAUAACUUCGGGAAACCGGAGCUAAUACCGGAUAAUAUUUCGAACCGCAUGGUUCGAUAGUGAAAGAUGGUUUUGCUAUCACUUAUAGAUGGACCCGCGCCGUAUUAGCUAGUUGGUAAGGUAACGGCUUACCAAGGCGACGAUACGUAGCCGACCUGAGAGGGUGAUCGGCCACACUGGAACUGAGACACGGUCCAGACUCCUACGGGAGGCAGCAGUAGGGAAUCUUCCGCAAUGGGCGAAAGCCUGACGGAGCAACGCCGCGUGAGUGAUGAAGGUCUUCGGAUCGUAAAACUCUGUUAUUAGGGAAGAACAUACGUGUAAGUAACUAUGCACGUCUUGACGGUACCUAAUCAGAAAGCCACGGCUAACUACGUGCCAGCAGCCGCGGUAAUACGUAGGUGGCAAGCGUUAUCCGGAAUUAUUGGGCGUAAAGCGCGCGUAGGCGGUUUUUUAAGUCUGAUGUGAAAGCCCACGGCUCAACCGUGGAGGGUCAUUGGAAACUGGAAAACUUGAGUGCAGAAGAGGAAAGUGGAAUUUCCAUGUGUAGCGGUGAAAAUGCGCAGAGAUAUGGGAGGAACACCAGUGGCGAAGGCGACUUUCUGGUCUGUAACUGACCGCUGAUGUGCGAAAGCGUGGGGGAUCAAACAGGAUUAGAUACCCUUGGUAGUCCACGCCGUAA